AGUGAACGCUGGCGGUAGGCCUAACACAUGCAAGUCGAACGGCAGCACAGUAAGAGCUUGCUCUUACGGGUGGCGAGUGGCGGACGGGUGAGGAAUACAUCGGAAUCUACUUUUUCGUGGGGGAUAACGUAGGGAAACUUACGCUAAUACCGCAUACGACCUACGGGUGAAAGCAGGGGAUCUUCGGACCUUGCGCGAUUGAAUGAGCCGAUGUCGGAUCAGCUAGUUGGCGGGGUAAAGGCCCACCAAGGCGACGAUCCGUAGCUGGUCUGAGAGGAUGAUCAGCAACACUGGAACUGAGACACGGUCCAGACUCCUACGGGAGGCAGCAGUGGGGAAUAUUGGACAAUGGGCGCAAGCCUGAUCCAGCCAUACCGCGUGGGUGAAGAAGGCCUUCGGGUUGUAAAGCCCUUUUGUUGGGAAAGAAAAGCAGCAGGUUAAUACCCCGCUGUUCUGACGGUACCCAAAGAAUAAGCACCGGCUAACUUCGUG
Molecule: ribosomal RNA, 492 nt
Filed under: uncultured bacterium
Lineage: Bacteria
Description: partial 16S ribosomal RNA
Rfam family: Bacterial small subunit ribosomal RNA
Source: RNAcentral